Molecule: small nucleolar RNA, 138 nt
Filed under: Ornithorhynchus anatinus (platypus)
Lineage: Eukaryota; Metazoa; Chordata; Mammalia; Monotremata; Ornithorhynchidae
Source: RNAcentral
UCCCUCUCAGGGUCACAACUGGAGAGUUUCCAGUGCUCUACCAGUCUCGAUUACGGGAGGGAGAGUCAAGCAGAGGCCUGUCCAUUCCAUUCCUAGCUUGACCAAUGGCUAGCGAGUGGAAGGCAAUCUGCUACAAGU